This 1147-nucleotide ribosomal RNA is filed under the name uncultured bacterium. RNAcentral's name for it is "bacterial SSU rRNA". It matches the Rfam family "Bacterial small subunit ribosomal RNA", at positions 17 to 1231 of the family's 1533-position model. The record is from RNAcentral.
UCCUGGCUCAGAACGAACGCUGGCGGCAGGCCUAACACAUGCAAGUCGAACGCCCCGCAAGGGGAGUGGCAGACGGGUGAGUAACGCGUGGGAACCUACCUAGUGGUACGGAAUAACUCGGGGAAACCCGUGCUAAUACCGGAUAAGCCCGAAAGGGGAAAGAUUUAUCGCCAUUAGAUGGGCCCGCGUCGGAUUAGCUAGUUGGUGAGGUAAUGGCUCACCAAGGCGACGAUCCGUAGCUGGUCUGAGAGGAUGAUCAGCCACACUGGGACUGAGACACGGCCCAGACUCCUACGGGAGGCAGCAGUGGGGAAUAUUGGACAAUGGGGGAAACCCUGAUCCAGCCAUGCCGCGUGAGUGACGAAGGCCUUAGGGUUGUAAAGCUCUUUUGGCGGGGACGAUAAUGACGGUACCCGCAGAAUAAGCCCCGGCUAACUUCGUGCCAGCAGCCGCGGUAAUACGAAGGGGGCUAGCGUUGUUCGGAAUCACUGGGCGUAAAGAGCACGUAGGCGGACUUGUUAGUCAGGGGUGAAAUCCCGGGGCUCAACCCCGGAACUGCCCUUGAAACUGCAAGUCUUGAGUCCGAGAGAGGUGAGUGGAAUUCCUAGUGUAGAGGUGAAAUUCGUAGAUAUUAGGAAGAACACCAGUGGCGAAGGCGGCUCACUGGCUCGGUACUGACGCUGAGGUGCGAAAGCGUGGGGGAGCAAACAGGAUUAGAUACCCUGGUAGUCCACGCCGUAAACGAUGGAUGCUAGCCGUCGGCAAGCUUGCUUGUCGGUGGCGCAGCUAACGCAUUAAGCAUCCCGCCUGGGGAGUACGGCCGCAAGGUUAAAACUCAAGGAAUUGACGGGGGCCCGCACAAGCGGUGGAGCAUGUGAUUUAUUCGAUGCAGCGCGAGAACCUUACAGCUCUGACAUUUGCUGACUGCUGCAGAAGAAGGAUUCGUCCCACAUGAGCAGAGGACAGAUGCUGGCAUGCUGUCUGUCAGCUCCUGUCGUGAAAUGUUUGUUAGUUCAGCCACGACGCGACCUCUCGUGUUGCCUCUUAUUGCGCUCUAAUGGUAUGCCGUGUAAGCUAGCAAGUGGAGGAGCAGUCGUCCUUAUGUCGUCGAUCGCUCUCAUGACUGAAUGAGUGAGCAUCUGCCUGA